UACAGAGGGUGCAAGCGUUGUUCGGAAUUACUGGGCGUAAAGCGCGUGUAGGCGGCCUUUUAAGUCUGAUGUGAAAGCCCGGGGCUCACCCCCGGAAGUGCAUCGGAUACUGGGAGGCUCGAGUACCGGAGAGGAGGGUGGAAUUCCUGGUGUAGCGGUGAAAUGCGUAGAUAUCAGGAGGAACACCGGUGGCGAAGGCGGCCCUCUGGACGGAUACUGACGCUGAGACGCGAAAGCGUGGGGAGCAAACAGG
Molecule: ribosomal RNA, 253 nt
Filed under: uncultured bacterium
Lineage: Bacteria
Description: partial 16S ribosomal RNA
Rfam family: Bacterial small subunit ribosomal RNA
Source: RNAcentral